CGGCAGGCUCCAGUGACAACGGUGUGAUUAGGGAGCCCAUGCUGAUGGCAGACCCAGGGCCUCCUGCUCUCCUCCAAAAGUCGCAAGGCUCCCACAGUCACGACUCACAGGAAGCCAAGAAGGGCACCAGGGACAGGUGGCAGACAUCCCGGCAUCGUGAAAAGGAAAGACACAAUCUGAGAAGCAACCCUGCAGGACUUGGCUGAAAGUCAACGGGCGGCUGAUCAAAUGAAGCAAUAGAAGCUGUGUAAUUUGUCACAUCAAGCAUCUGCGACAAACCCACGCACGAUCCGAGGAAUAAAAGUAGAAAUAAAUUGAAGGGAGGAAGGAACAAGGAGGAGACAGUGAGAGGACUGGGGAGGCUCCCAGUACAAAAGGUGGCAAAAGAGCUGAAGAUUGACAGCUGGCAAAGGUCUGUU
Symphalangus syndactylus (siamang) is the source of this 419-nucleotide long non-coding RNA. RefSeq lists it as uncharacterized. The record is from RefSeq and is a predicted model, not a curated record. NCBI's taxonomy places the organism in Eukaryota, Metazoa, Chordata, Mammalia, Primates, Hylobatidae.